AUGUCAAUAGACUCUGAAGAUGACAUGCCCAUUAUCACAGAGACGUCCAUUCAGCCUGAAAAUGACCUUAAGGAACCGCAGGCACCUCAGCCCCCUCCACCCCAGACCGAUGGAUUUCGUCCUCCCCUCCCUGACCAACCCUGUGUGGACCCCAUUAGUGAUCCACUUGUACCACCUAACCCUUCCGCCUACCCUAUCCAGGGCUCUAUCUCCACUGAUUAUGCAGCUCUGAAGUCUGCCAUCGCUCAAUAUAAAGCUGCCAGUCAGGAGAGCACCUCUAUGCCUGAAGUAGAGGACACCCUGGCCAGUUUCGGUGUGAACCCCCACCAGAGCUACCUGUGUUCCAGCUCGGCACAGUGGAGCCCUUACUCUGGUUCUCCCGCGUAUCAUAUGUCCUCGGCAUAUUCGUCUCCAGUUAGCGUGGCCUCCAGGGGAUCAGAUUACAGCCAAACUGUUGCUCCUCCUGGGACCCAAACUCCAACAAACACCUCCACCAUACCAGUUCCUCAACCACUCACCAUUCCCCUUUCCCUCCCUCAGCCCCCAGUUAGCUCAGUGGAGGUGCCUUCUAUUCCGGAAUCAGCCACCUCUCUUCAGCCGCCUGGACAGUCCUUACCCAUUCCUGACAGCGUGGGAGUGCCUGGGGUGGCAGCGGCAAGCACUGCUAACCAGUUAGGACUUGCUGGCUCUCAAACUGCUAAGAUAGGUGUAGAGUCUGCUUCCUCAUCCACUGCUUCUUCCUUGUCCUCUCUUCACACCACUUUUCCUUCCUAUCCAGAUACUACUCUUUUUCCAGCCCUCACCCCAAUUCCCCCUAUUCCACCGCUUUUCGGCUGGGGUCCUACAGCAGGAGCCCAGCAGGGUUACGCGGCUGGACAGAGUGGGGCAGGAUUCGGGGCUCUACCUUCCACCCAAGCUGAGGCCGCAAAGCCUGCUGAUAGAUCAUGGGUAGGAGCCACUGAGAGCGAAACCGCUCGUGGACAAGAGGAAGAAGGUGCCCCUACUUCAGCAACUUCUAAAGUUCUCCAACAGGAGGCUAGUGGAGAGAAAGGAGGUGCACUGGGUAGUUCAACCUCAUGUGGCCAAGGCAGCAGAACUCCAGUGAACUCUUCCUCUGAAAGUCGGGGCGGCAGUCAGGCCCCUCCCACCAGGGGCGGCACUGCCAGCAGAGGACUCUUACCCAUCCCUGGAGCCCCAAUGAGAGCCUUGUGCCGAGGAGGACACAACAAUAGCAUGUACAAUCCCAGAGGGGGACAUCCUGAUAUGAUGCGUGGUGGUUUCAGGGGUCGAGGAGUACCGCCACAUCCCAUGAGAUCUAGACCGGGUCGGGGUCACAUGAGAGGGGGCCCAUCCUGUAACUGGGGUUAUCCCCCUGGGAGGGGAGGGGGUGGUCGGUCAGACUACUAUUCGGACUACACCUAUAACUAA
Molecule: long non-coding RNA, 1428 nt
Organism: Carassius auratus (goldfish)
Lineage: Eukaryota; Metazoa; Chordata; Actinopteri; Cypriniformes; Cyprinidae
Source: Ensembl